CGUCGACCAGGCCCUCCGCCAAAAUCAGAAGCCAACAAGCAGAGGACGGCAACAAAGCGAAGGGAUUACAAUCCGCAACAUCGGAUACUUCCAGGAAGAAAUCGGAUUAGCAGAACCGACACCCUCCGAUUUACAAUUGACCCAGAUGAUAAACUUUGGGAAUACAAAAAAUACCAAAUAAUCAGUUAGGAGUAGCAUCAGAUGCUUCCACCGAGCGGCCUCGCGGUACCGGGACUCCCGCCGGCGAGGGCCGUCUUACCCACGCGUAGUGCGGCUCACGCGAGUAAGACGAGGGACGGCCGGGGACGAUCGAUGGCGGCGCUGUCGUCAUUAUCGUCACGCUUGGAGGUAAGCUAGAGAGUGGCGGUGCCGGAAGCAGGGGAGGACGGGCCCCGACGACCGGCGAACUUGGAGGUGGCGGCGGCGCGACGACGUCCGGAUGCUGGCGGCAGCGGCGAGGCUCCUUGCGUGCUCCCUACAUGACCAAGGGAAAAAGAAAAGGCUAAGAUGCAGGUGAGGACUGAGGAGGAGACAUGAAGAAGGAGAAGGAGAGGCGUUGGAGCUCCGCUGUGGGGCGGCAUGCGCGAGGGAUCGGGAGGGCGCAGAGCCAGUGGAGGAAGGAGGAGACGCUCGGGAGGCUCGGUGGUGGCCUCGACUCCAUCUGGAUCUAGAGCUGCAUGUGGAGAAGAAUGCGUGGGGAGAGAUGAGGAUGAGGGCGGCUGGCUGAGAAGAUAAGGUUGGAUGGGAGGGAGGGAGAGACAGCAGUGCGUCAGGCCAAAUGACAC
This 785-nucleotide ribosomal RNA is filed under the name Triticum aestivum (bread wheat). Its description in RNAcentral is "partial small subunit ribosomal RNA". Lineage: Eukaryota; Viridiplantae; Streptophyta; Magnoliopsida; Poales; Poaceae. The record is from RNAcentral.